AAAUGAAAUGGUUUAUACCACAGUGAUAAGGACUGCAUAAAAGCCAGUCAGUGGGGGAUGAGGACAGCUGCUGCCACAGCACAAGCCAUGCCACGAGCUUCGGACACUUUGGAGAUUGGCAUCCUGCACUUACACAGUGGCUACAACAGAGGAUAAAUUGGGAAGGUGGGCUUACAGGGCAAUAAAGACAUAGCUGAACUGGACUACCCUGAAGGCAUCCCUAUUUCCUCUGUGAAGUGCUGUUACAUCUGCACAGCAGGGUGCCCAGACCCCACCAAAGCGUGGUAGCUGAGGUCUGCGUGGAUGCUGCGUGGAUGAAGAUGAAACCAGCAGGGGGGAUCUGGAACAAGACAUCUUUCAGCCUCAGCUCACCCAACAGCACUGAAGACUGAAAUGAAGAAGUUGGUGGAUUCCAGAGUGAAGCAAGAAGAAGGCCGGGAUGCAACAUGAGCAGACGGUCCAACCCAGAAAAGUGCUAACUUUACAGAAUGGGGGACUCCGCGCAUCAGUGGCAGUCUGCGGGCAGUCAGCGUUGGACCCAAGGUUUCGUGUUUAUAGAACGAAGAAGGACAUCUUGUAAAGGCGCCUUUUCAUGUGCGGAGAGACCAUAAAAAUAACAAGACCCCAGAAUGUUAAAGAGAAUCACGAAUGCACAUGGAAAAUGCUACGCUAAUCACUGAAUUUCUGCUCCCAAAUACCUCUGUUUACUGAGUUGCAGCCAGCCCCGAUGAGCUUGGAGUAUGCCAGCAAAAGUGUGCAUAUCAGAAAGCUGCUGUGGAGUACAUGUUGUGAAUUGUAUGGGAACUGUUGAAUCACGGCCUGAACCUCUAAUUGACCACCUGAGGACAAACCUAGAGGUUUCAUCCCAAAAGAACAAACUUCUAGCAAAAGGCAUGGAUUAAGGAAAAAAGCUCAGGUUGGCCAGAAAUGGUGGAAGAAAGUCAAGAACAUUAAGAUAAAACAUAAGGCAAAGAAGAGAGUGAAUCUGCCUUCUGUAGCCCUGUACUCCCACUCCAGUCAGUUUCUACAUCAACUGAUAGGUGGGGAAGAGGACAUAACAGAACGAAAGCCAAGAAGAAAAUUGCAGCAAAGGGAUGGAGGAGUGCUGCUUAACCGUCUGUCUCCUGAAGUCUUCAGAUGGUGACUAGAUGCCUACAGAUAAGACAUUUUUUUAAUCAAGAAGUUAGAGAACUCCCUAGCAGAAAUGACAUGGAGUGAGUCAUAUGGUAGAUCAGACCAGAUCAUCUAAGAAAAUAUUCAGUCUUUCAAAUAUGCAUCCCUUUGAAUUCAGGUAAUAUUUUUUCCCCCAAGACAAGAGUCAAAGACCAGAUCUUCCUUAAUCAGAUGUUUCAGUGGGAAGAGAAGCUUUAGGGGACCUACAUGACAUUUUAAAGAGACCUAAAUAUUAGAGUAGGGGUAGGACAACUUGGCAGGAGAUGCUGAUUGAAAUUAUGGCUUCAUUGAGCCCAAGUGGGAAUUUGAAUUCAGGGGCCUAAGUUACCACCCAGUGUGUCAAUGGGAAAACUGCCAGUGUAAAACUGAGGGGGGAAAAAAAAAAAAAUGGUAUGAGAUGUUUGGCCUCAGGAAACAAAAUAGAAAUAAUGAGAGUCCCUGUUUCCCACCUCCCCUCAAAAAAAAAAAAAAAAAGAGAUGAGCAAAAUGGAGAAUGACACCAGAUUCAAUGAUCUGUCUCAGCACAAGCUAUGUGUAAGGCAAGAAGCUCUUCUUUUCUUCUAAUACAUAAGAUCAAUAAUGGAGGGUCUGAGAAAUCGCACAGAUUGAACACAACAAGGUCAGGUAUUGAGUUCACAGAGCCAUGGAAUAGUUGAGGUUGGAAGGGACUGCUGGAGAACUCUUACUCAAGCUGGGUCACCUUGCACAGCUUCCCACCACUCUGUCCAGGUGGUUCCAUCCCACAGAAGCAUCCAAGGACAUAUUCUGCUCUUCAGUAAAAGCGUGAAAGAUCAUUGCUCCUCAUCAAAUCCCAGUAGUGAUGCUAUGAGAUCUUUCUUUUAGGUGUAAACUCUCCUCCAGCUCUCUCAGUGCUGCUCUUUCUCACAUAGCCAUGGUUCUUCCAUGGCAAGAUCGGUUUGACUUGUGGAAAAAUAAUAAGCCCACAGUUGUUAUGAGAGUCAGGGCAGAGCAUAAUUCUAAUUACAGGAAGCAGAAGCAAGAGGGGGGAACUUUUGGAGUGUUUUAUUGUAAUUUAAGUAGGUUUCUAAGAUGUGAGAAGCCAGCAAUGUUGUCAGAGGUUACAAGGAGUUUUCAUGCAAUCACAAAUUCAUAUUUCUCUGUCCUAACACACAAUCUGGGAGAAGGGCAGCCAGAGGUAAGUGACAGAACCAGGAGGAGGAAGCGAGCUGUUAGCCGGCUCUGGUUUGUCUCUCCUUCUUAUCAGAUCAUAACUUCACAGUAGCACUUCCACUGCAAACUCCUUGUAGCCCUUCCAGAUUAACUUUCAAGCCUGCCUCCCUAACCUUGGGAAAUUUUAGACAUGCAAGAUCAGCUAACAAGGCAGGGGGAAGUUCUUUUGUCUGCAGUGGGAUCUUUCCAUGCUGCAGCUCGGCUUCCUUUACAUACAGGCCCUACUGAUUCCCCAGAGAGAUGGAGUAAACUAAUUGCUCAUCUGCUAUUAGGAUCAUCCCAAAAAAGAUUAAGACUGUGAAUGUUUGAUGGGCACAUCUCUGUCUUUUCUAGUUGGCUAAGAUUUCCUCUGCUGGAUGUGUAUGUCAGACUUCUACAAAAUCAACCCCCGCUCAACUACUCUGAGCUGGUAGGCAUCCUAAGUAAUGCUGUUGAAUAAACUGAAGUAAUUUGGGAUACAAUUUGGCAUAAGAGAUCACAAUUACUCUGCUGAGAUUAUUCCAGCAUUACAUCCACUUAUGAAACUACAAAAGAAAUCUGUCCACUGAAAUUCAUCUUCUAUGAAAGCUGCAGGAAGUGCUGACUGUCUACUUCCAGUGUGCCUGCCCAAAGGGAGACCUCUCUGCUGGAUCCCAACAAGAGGAGAUGACAAACAAGACAAGCGCAUUUCGUAGCACCCAUGACUCAGAUGGAGCAGAUCAGCUCUUCAGCUAUUGCUUCAUUAACCAAGGCUUGUUUGCUACAGACAUCACCAUCAAGAGUUUCCAGAGAUGCCACUGAAAGGUGUCCAUAUGUGUGCGGUGGGGAACCUGGCCAGCUCGCAGAGCCGCCUCUCCUCCAAGAACUGCAUACUGAGGCUUCUCAGUGUUGCAGAAAAAGCCACUGUUGCUUCCAAACUGCUAUAGGAACUGACAGGAGCGCUCCAUAUCCAGGUGCUGACUGACCACUGAAGAGCAGUUUGUAUGAAGAGCCUCAAAGGAGCUUCCAAAAGAAACUCAAAAACCUUGAGCUUACAACCUGGAGGAUGUUUGUCUACAUUUGCGAGGUAAAAUGGAGUUAUGCUUCAAAAUAAAGGAAAAUGCUGUGGUCUGUGGGUUAGUUCAUGAAGACCUCGAGUUUACUAUGGUAACUCCUUUUACAUUUUUAAUUAUAUCGCACCCUUAAUAUUUUGAAGAAAAGGAUUAGCAUACAGAGAGCGGAAAACUUUAUGCACUUUCUUCUUUGAAUGCUAAAAACUCUAGAAUUCAUUUCUGUUUCCUGAUAUGCACUUGAGAAAAAAUUGAGAUGACAGCAUGAUGUUUGAUCAUGACUCAUUAAAAUGGUGCCCAGGCUUCCUGCUCCGACACAACAGACAGUUGCGUAGCUGUUUGCAACUUUGACUUAAUAGGAUUUUGCAAUGCAGUUUCACAAUGCCACUUUCUCCCACUUUGCAUUUAAGAAUCCAGUCACUUACUGUUUAAAUAUCCCAAUAAGCUUCUGAGAGGAGACUUUCAGCUCUCCCCGCUUGUAGCUUUUCCUAAUCUUUCACCAUCCGACAUGUCCCCUGUGCCUCGGGCCAAGCGCUCUGAGCAGUACAUCCAUGGACGUUGUUUGAGUUUACGGGAGUUGCACCUCCCAGUAACACAUUCUUAUCCCUUUACAUCACAAAGUGAACCGCCAGCCCCAUUCAAUCAUUGAUAGUCUUUGGUGUCUCUUCAUUGCGCAGUGGUUAUUGCUAUAAACAGUCUUCACCAAAGUUCCCGUGUUUUUCCUGCUCUGCCAUAGAGGAGCCACCAAGGUUCCUGUUUGUCACCAGGUGACCAGCACUGUUUUGGUAAACUGUUCAACCCAUUUGAAGUGCCAUGGAGCCAAAUUGUGGAAAGGGCUUGUUCCAUCUUGCUGGCCUGAGCGCACCCAGCGUGGGGCUGGGAAUACCGGGAACACAAGUGGUUAUGAAAGGAAGAAAAGUGAAAAAAAGGGUUUUACUGAGAAGUAUGAUGUCACCCAGAUCACAGUCUAUUUCUGGAACUAAGCUGUGAAACCCAUGACACAUUUUGACACAUAAAUGUUGCCAAGUAAAACUGAUAAUAUAUAAUUGUUUAAUAGGGUCACAGCCAACUGUUUUCCAGAUAAGGAGCUGAACUCUUCCAUGCAAUAUAGCAUUUGUGGAACGUUACACCUAGUUGGUUCCAUGCUUUCAUUGGCUCUGGGAUUACUUCCUAUCAUAUUUAAAUAAAAAGACUAGAUUAUUGGGUACCAUAAGAACAAUGGAUUGUUUAAUGGUCUUAUGGCACUUAUCUUAAGUCAAUACGAAAGUUUUGAGUUUCUAGGGCUAUGUCAAGGGCAGUGAAACAAGGACUGCAUUCAGUGAAUUACUCAUUUGUUUAUUUUUUAAUGCACAUUUAAGUAUCUCAUUUUGGGGACUCAGAUAUACAUAGAUGAUUCAGUUAAAUGCAGAUUAAUUUACCAAAAAAAAAAAAAAAAAAGAGAAAGAAAUUGUGCUUGUCUGAGAAACAGAAUCUGGUAGAAAAUAUUAUUAUGCUAUUAUGUGCAAUUUGUUCUAGAUAAAAGUAAUGAUCAAACAACUUCCUUGUCUCUUUGCCAUGGUGCAAAUUUCCUGUGAUAGAGGUCUAUUUUGUAUAGAAUUCUUCAUCCAAGCUUUGUUCCUAGAAGCUUGACAGGGAUCCAUAAUGUAAUUACAGUUAUUAGGAGUAAGUAAUACCAGUAAAAAGAGAUGCUAUAGAAGUGUAGAUAUGGAAGGGAAGAGAUAGGUUCUGAUAUGAAACAGAGAGAGACUGUAGCCCAGAAAUGUAUGAAAAUUGCUCAGGACACAGAGGCAAAGAGCAAAGGCCAGGUCUCCAGGUGUGCAAGGAACAAGAGGGGGACCGAAAGGCAAAGCUUGGGCUUCAAUAGCCACGUCAGAGUUUCGGAGAACCAGAAUUCUUAGGCUGUCCUGGAGACUAGAGUCCUAAGUUCUUCUCGUUAUAAGUUUCUUAAUGUCCUUAUUUCUAUCUUUACAGACAGUCAUAUGGUUUUAACUAUAAGGUCAUAAAACCUUACAGUGUUUCCCUUUUAAAACCAAUGCUUUCUAAUCCUUAAUUGCUGAAAUGUGUGAUGAAAACAAAACAAAAUUAUUUUCUUCCUGGAUCUGAUGUGGACUGCUGGAUUAAUUUGCAGCUAUGGCCAUUUUGCUCCCUUAUAGAGAGAAAAAUAGGUUGAUUGUUUCCUUCAAACACAAAAUCACAUUUCUUUAGCGCUGUCCUUUCCCUCUCACUGUGAGAAAGGAGAGAAUGGUUUCCGCCACAAGCACACUGCCCUUCUGCCUUUCAUGGUGUCUGAAAGUCCAUUAACAGUUCAAACCAGAGCAGUUUGUGUUGGUGGUGUUCCCAUUUCCUCAAAAGCAGCUUCUCUGCAAUGACCCCAUCCCUGGAGGCAUUCAAGACCAGGCUGGAUGUGGCUCUGGGCAGCCUGGUCUGGUGGUUGGCAACCCUGCACAUAGCAGGGGGGUUGAAACGAGAUGAUCAUUGUGGUUCCUUUCAACCCAGGCGAUUCUAUGAUUCUAUGGCAUGAGGGCAGCAGUGUGGAAGUGACGCUCUUAUCACUGCAGAGGAGCUUGAGGGUCAUUCCAUGGCCAGGCCCUGGGUGGCCAGCACUGAGCUCCCUUGACUAUACGGGCUUUAGCCAGCUGCUCACUUGGCUUCCAGCACCAACCUGCCGUGCCCAUCCAUCUUCAACCCUCACUGUUGCGGAAAGUGAUCUGAUCUUCACUGGACUGCAUUGCAUGUAAUUAAGGAAAGGACAUAUAAGAAAGAACCACCCAUUCCUCCUUGAGUCCAGUUCUUUCCAUCAGUCUCUCUUCACCAUGCCAGCACUACUUUCUUUUCCCUUGCUUAAUAUACAGUACCGUGCCAUUUCAUUGAACUGGCAGAUAAGCUUGGACUCUGCUGUCCCUUAGCUGCCUGCCUUGAGCCAAAGCUUCCUGCUAUUUUCCUACCAUACACUGAUUUAUCUUUUGCUUUCUCAAGUAACGCUUCCCCAAAGAACAUGUCACGGGCUGAAUGGGAGCAUGGAAGCGGGCUGCCAGAAGGCACUUAUCUAUUGUUCUUCCUUACCCAAGAUGGCAUGUUAAUGCCAAAGGACUCAGUGCAGCUGCCAACUCUGCAUCAGCUGAGUCUUAACCUUUACCAUGCGUACAGCAGCCGUUUGCUGGAGACCAGCUAGCGCCAGAGUGCAGACUUGCCUGCCAAAGCUUGGAUUUCUGUGUAAUUGGUUCCCAUGUCACAGAGCUUACAAGGUCCAAUUACAUCCCCUCACUGUAGCAGGAGCCUUUCACUUGCUGUGGGGCUGAGUUUGAUGACCAUGCAUCUCCUGUUGGAUAGCAGCUAGAGGACCAAGUUCAUCCACCUGCAUCCUUGGGCUUCCUACUACUUGAACACAUGUCUUUGGGUGCCAAGCCCAUCGCAAAAGUAGAAGCUAAGCCAGAGGAAUGCAGAUCUUAUUAAAUGGAGAAGGGGGUGGUCAUUUGGAAAGCUUAGAAAUGUAGAGAAAUAGGUGUGUUUCUUGGUGGAGAAGGUUUGAUGGUGGGCAUCGCAGCUAAUGUUGCAAUGUAGAGAUGGAAAAUCUGUGUUUAUAUCCUGAAUAUCAACUCUUCAUUCUAGCUGUGGGAAUCAUUACACUUGUGGAAACAGGUGGUUGUUUGCUGCAGUGCUCAUAGAAGGGCUCUCUCCCCUACGAGAACCCCAGAUUGCUGUGAGAAAGCUGUUUGUACAUAAGUAACUGAUAUGCAUUUUUCAGAUUCCUAAUGUCUAUGAAGCUUCAAUUACCCAGUAAAGAACCAAAAUAAACCCCCCCAAAACGGUAUCAUGUGACCAAUUCAUUUAAGAAACUGCAUGUCCCCUCAACACUUGAGGAUCUGUAUGUAGCUAGCCCUACUAUGCCUGUUUUUCUCUCAUUUCUGGCCUCUCUAUACAGAUGGGGACCUUAGAAAUGAAAAGAUUGAAUGUCUUAUGACAGGCAAGCAAGGAGUCUGUGGCUGAAUCAUGGAGAAAACUCAAAUGUCCUGAGGAAUAAACACUCUGAGCAAUUUCUAGGUGACAGAAAACCAACUAGGAAAAAGCCCAGCAGGCCACAGAAAAUCAGAGAUAAGGGAAACAUCUGAAGGACUGGUGUAAAGCUACUCUGAAGCUGCCUCUCUGUGUGAUUAAGCAACUCCAAUUAGCAGCAGUGUCACAAACAGAACGCAUGAGGGCAUUUCUGCCAUUCCUGAGCCCUCAGCAAUCCGCUUGCUUUGGUAUUCUACGAUAGUCCCACCUCUCUUGGAGCCACGUGCAAAGCUCACAGACAUCAGCAGGAAUUGGAGCUGUUCUUAUUUCGCUUGUGAGCGCAGUAAGUUAUUGGUUGGGGAAAUGAGUCAGGAAGAAAAUAGUAAAAAAAAAAAGCAACCCCAAACAUCAGUCCUUGGUUCUGCCAUCUCCUGAGGUGCCCCAUGGUCAGCGUAGGAGACAGCGCCUCGGGGGUGGUGGGAAUUGUUGCUGUAGGUCUCCAGAGUGGAAUUUGCCCUGGAUGGAGACAGCACUGGUAGCUGCCCUACGUGCAUGGCUCUCCUCCAUUCCUACAUCCACUGACCUCUGCACCAAAAGCCCAUCCCAGUGCGUGUGUCCACAGCCUGAAAAAGCAGGCAGAUGCCAUGAGCAGGGAGAAGAGAGAAAAAGCAUUGGCAACUGGAGAUGUGGGUCUAGAACUCUUAACAAUAAGCUAGUUAUCUUUGCCUCUGGUUACCACUGGGCAGCGAUUCCCUCGGCACAGCAGCAUGAUGUUGGGCCACACGCUGGCCAAGGCAGUGCCCAAUUGCCCACAGCCUGGAUGGGAACUCUUCCUUGAUGCAUCAGGGCAGGCUCCAGCCUCCAUCCCAGAGGCACCAACAGCCAAACACAGGUUUCUCUUCCUCAGGAGCACGGUGCUCACGCUGCUCGCUUGUGGCUAUGAACAGAGGGGAAAACAAUGCGAUAAGUGCAGAAUGGUUUUAUUGUCAUGUCAACAAAAUAUUUUCUGCCUCCACAGACUGUGGAAGUGCUCAGCAUGCAGCACCCUUCCAGUUUUGGAAAACACUUGAAAACCACCGACAGAAUCUCACUAUUCCUUUUUUUAGCUCCAUAAUAAAAAGCAAACAAGAAAUAUGCUGAUCCCCAAAAUGAGCUUAUUUUUUUCCUUUUUUUUUUUAGCAAUUUAAUUUUUUAGCUUUGAUCUGAUACCAGAACCCAGAGGACUUACUUGCUAUUUCUAAAUAAUGAGUCUAAUGUUUAUGCUCUGAGCCUGAACUUUUCUGGUUUUGGAAAAAAUGUGACUUUACAUAAAAGUCCUUUGAUUAAGAGAUCUGCAGUCAGAGGAGUUUUCGAUACAAUAAUGAAAAGGCCUUUCAGAUCUCUAACUCGAACGCUGCUCAGCACGAUAUUACUCGAGAAGGGGAGAAGCCGGCAGAACAAUCACACUAUUAGUCUUUGCUUUGCCAAGUGUUGUGUUAGUCAUAUUGCUGGUCAAAUCUCCCAGAAGUGCCUCAGAGAAGCCUUACAUUGCACGGAGUGAUGCAUGCCUGAUAAACGCACCCUGACCUGGGUGGUCUGUCGCUCUGGCUCUCUCCUUUUAUUUUUUUUUAACCCUGUUUCAUUGAGGCUUUAAGAGGUGAUUGUUACACAGAGGGAAAGUGCCUGGAGGAGAAACAGAGGCUAUUUCCUCCUGCUGUGGUCCACAUUCCCCUGCAGCAGGGCUGCAGCAGGCUCUCCUUCCAAGAAAGCCGCAGCACAAAACAUGGCACUCCCUCUCUUGCACAGCGAGGUUCCAUCCAUUGCCCCAGCUGAGCUUGCAGCGCUGGGCAUUCGGAGCACUCAGCACCUGGGCUCAUCCAUGGCUCAGAAGGUGACCUCCUGCUCAGUCCUGGCUCUCCUGGAAGUGGGUUGGAAAGGGUGACUUUCGCCCUGCUAAGCAGGUUGUGGUGUUGAAGCUGGAUGCCUGUGUUAUUUAUGCAGAACUGACACGUCUCUUUGUCCUGAGCCGUGUGGCCCAGAUUCCAGCCCUUGUAUCUACAAAACAUUACUCAUGUGCGCGCUCCUCUUUCAAGUCCUUGAUUCCAAUGGUAUUACUCACAUGUGCACGCAUACCGCGGCUGUGCGCCUGAGUGCCGCUCACGUCUCUGCAGGGGCAAAUCCUGCUGCUUUCAGCUGAUCUACACCACUAUGCCAGAGAUAAAAAUCUGAAACCAGAGCGGCUCUCUGGGGAAAGGAAGAUCAGCUUAAAACCUGAUGAUUCUCCUCCUCUUCCUCAUUCUCCCCGCACAUUUCCCACUUCUGUUGCCAGCAGGGCAGCCCGCGGGAAGCUCUGCUCCUUUGGAUCACCGGAGCACUGCCGCACACCAGGGGUUAAAAUGAGAAGGCACUUUGAUUUUGGAGAUUUAUGGCCUUCCUCCUGCUGUAUUCGUGGAGCUCAUCGUUGCAGUCAGCCCUCCCCACCCCUGCAGCUGUCUGCACAUUUUUUCUCCGGUUCUAGAGUUGUACUUUACUUAGGAAAUUAUAAUUAUUAAAACACACAAGGUCACGCUCUAGAUGAACUUGGAAACAGUUCAAAUAUGUUUCAGGUUUGAAACUAUUCAGCGGUGAUGGCCAAGUGGUGAUUUCAUAACAAAAGAAUGGUUAAUUUCACACUUCAGAUAACAUUUCCCCCGGAAAGCAGUAAAGCAUGUUGGUACAGAAAUUAUUAAAGGUCAAAAGACUGGAGACGUAUAAUCAGUCAUUAGUGCCAAUAAUGAGAUAUUAAAGGCAGGCGUGGGGAGGAGGCGGAGCUGAUGCCUGCCCCUUACCUUUACAACUCUCAUUUUCUGAAAGGUGCUGUGUCUUUGUGGACUUCUAACGUGGCAGAUCUGGAGUGCUGCUGCACAAGUGGGCUUCUGCCCCUGCUGUAGGUAGAACAGCCAUUGGACCACAUGGACCACCAUCCCCAUAAUAACGACCUGCAAAGCAUCCACUGAAGAGCAGCGAAGCCAACACUCACAGUACCCACCUCCCUGAGUCACCUUCCUCCUUUGCUGGCUGGUGGGAAGAAAGCAGUGGCAGGUGUUCCAUGGCCUCUCCAGCAAUUGGCAUCAACAUUAAUCACUGCUCUUCUCUUGCAAAGGGAUUCUGACAAAGCAAGUUUUGAAAGAUCAAACCUCCCUCGUGCAGACAGCAGCCUGAAGUGGCUCUCUGUAUGCCUUGGUGAGAGAUGUGGCCAAAGCAGGUUGAUCCUGAUCGUCAUGGGAUAUCUUUUCCCCCAAAGUCAGCAACUCUUUGGAGAAAAAAUACACAGAAACAAACAAACACAAAUAAACCACUUAAAAGAAAAAGAACAGGAGAUGUCACAAACCCUUCCUUGGCAGUGCUCCUCUGCAAGCAGCUCCAGCCCAGCAGGUCAGCCGGGCAGCCUCAGCCAUGCCCUCAUAUCUCCAGUCUCAUCCUGCACUGGGCAAAAGCACAAAGUACAUUUGACCUUGCAGCUGGAGCUGUGGAAAUCAGCUCUAUCACAAACCAGGAGGACAAUGACUUUAUGAGUGCAUCUCGUGUGCUGCUGCCACCUGAAUGUGCCACUGCCAAGGCUGGGGUGGCACUGGACUCAAGUCUGUGGCUUUGGGGGAAUCAAUAACACCCCUGGAUGCUCAGGGACUGGAGAGGUGAUGCUUCACUGGGGCUAUUGUGCUGACUGAGGAGCUUUUAUUUCCUCAGCUGUGCGGAGGAAUGGGCAUGAAUUCUGUCUGUGACAGUGCACGUAGUGUGUGCACCACACUGCUGUGCAGAAACUGUCACAUCCUGGUGUUGGCCACAGUGCUGUCCAGCAAGGAUGCCAUGAGGCUGAGCCCAGCCUUGCCCUGGUGCCACAUGGUAGUUUUCAUUUAGAAAGAUCUUGCUCAUGUCUUUGUGAGGAAAAAAAGAAAACAAAAAACCAAACCAGGAAUGGUAGCGAGCACUCUAUGCCAGUUUCAUUUUUCAUCGUCGUUAUCAAGGUUUGGAUUGUACCUUUGGAAUGUCCUUAUCUAAAAUGAAAUCAAAUAAGCACUUAGUGGCGGGGGGUCCUACACUCCCUCAGCACCUAAGGGAGUUUGUGCAAUGCCCCACUGCUGCGUGCUCAGCUCGGUUCACCUAAGUUGAUGCACGUACACGUGUACCUACAAGUAGUGCCACAAGCACGUACAGCUGGUAACGUAUCCAAACACAAUGGAAUGCACGUAAAACCCAAAUCACAUUUUUUAUCGCCACACUGUGGCACGUGGCAGGACAUGAGUGGGGUCCCAUCCUUCUGGUUGGCAUGAAAGUACUCUCUGCAGGACAGAAAGACCUGGGGAAGGCUUUCUCGUCAUCCAGCCGUGACCCAUGUGCUUCUGAAGCACGCUGCCAGCUCUGGCUUCUGCCAAAAGCUGGGCAGGGGAAGAGAAGGGCCCAAGGACCUGCAUCAGCCCACAGCAGAGCCUGCUCAAGAGUCUGUCCCAAUGGGUCUGGGCUUACUUGCAUAUUUAGAUGUGGGCACCUAGCCUUCUCCCAGCACCUUUCAUACUAUAAAAGCCCACAAAGAAAACCAAGCUGACUGCUGCCUCUGCUCCUACCACACAAGAGAUGGACAGGACGAGUCCAAGCAUUAUGUCAUCUGCUUUCCGUGGGCUGAGGGGAGCUCAGCUGAGUCCCACGCUCAGAUUUGGGAGGGCUGGCAGCCCUCUGCUGUCUCUGCAGCUUCCAGGCUUUCUUUUCAUCCUGAACCUAAUGGGUGGAUGGCAGCAGAGUUCAUGAGGAUUUUCGGAUGAGCUCAGAGGAGCUUGUUCAUGAGAAUUUGAAUUUUUGGCAAAGAGCCCACAAUAGCUGAUAUUUUCCAGCUUAUGGGGGAGAGGGUUUUCCAGCUAUGCAUAUCCCUUAAUUCACAUAACCAGCACUUUAUUUUAACGCUAAUUCCUCUGCAUCCCCUUUGGAACCAUGUGCACUCUUAGGAAGGACACAUGCCCCUGUCUGAAAGAUUCCUGGGCUUUUCACAUCUCUCACUGCCAUGUAUGAGGUUUGGCUGCUGGAUAACCUACCUUGGCUGCAUGGGAAGAGGAGCUGCCACAGGAUGGCAAAAUGAAAGGGUGAAAACUCUAGGAGGAGGGUUAAUGUACACUGAAAUGAAUAGCUGAAGGACCUGACAUAGCAAAUAACUAAAAAGCAUUAAAAGUGGAGGUGACUGAGGGAAAGUAAAGGGCAGCCCCUUUCAGGUGUAUGUUGAUAAUGCUCUCCUGACCAGUUGGCUGCAGACCACACAGACCUAUUGCCUAUAUGCACCCACAUUUCUGAUUUCUCUGGGUCAGUGCUGCCCAGGCUUCAUGUUGUUGUCUGAGUAAAUCUUGCUUCUUUUGUCUUUUAUAAACAUUGGAGCCAUUAUCUGUGAUAUUCCACCCUCGUGUCAUUGAAGAAGAAUGUUCUGA
Molecule: long non-coding RNA, 12811 nt
Organism: Gallus gallus (chicken)
Lineage: Eukaryota; Metazoa; Chordata; Aves; Galliformes; Phasianidae
Source: Ensembl